GUCUACCACCAUACCACCCUGAACGUGCUCGAUCGUGUCUGAUCUCGGAAGCUAAGCAGGGUCAGGCCUGGUUAGUGUUUGGGUGGGAGAGAGUGGCUGGGAAGUGGGGUUGAUG
RNAcentral lists this ribosomal RNA (115 nucleotides) under Carlito syrichta (Philippine tarsier). Lineage: Eukaryota; Metazoa; Chordata; Mammalia; Primates; Tarsiidae. The record is from RNAcentral.